Budorcas taxicolor (takin) is the source of this 126-nucleotide small nuclear RNA. The record is from RefSeq and is a predicted model, not a curated record. NCBI's taxonomy places the organism in Eukaryota, Metazoa, Chordata, Mammalia, Artiodactyla, Bovidae.
GUGUUGUACCAAAGGAGAGAAGGCUAGCAUUCCGCUUGACAAGGAUGGAAGGGACUCUCAGGCCUGACAGCAUGCAUGUGGCUGAGGCAUUACCACUUACUUCGUGGCAUCGAACCACUGUUUUUA